AUGUCCGUGGAGGCCCAGGAGUACAGGAAGGUGCUGGACGAGAUCAACCCGCAUGUGGGCAUGGCCAGCCUGUACUCGGAUCACCUGCCAGUAAUGCGGUGGCUCGACGUGUUCGGCAACAAGAACAAGGUCGUCGCUGCUCUGAGUAAAAGGGACGCGUUCCUGCAGCAGCUCAUCGACGCGGAGCGGCGGAAGCUGGACGACGGCGGCAUCGGCCCUUCUAGUGAAGUCGAGGGAAAAAGCAUGAUCUCCGUCAUGUUCACUCUGCAGAAGGAAGAGCCACAAGUCUAUACCGAUACAAUGAUCAGCGGCGUGUGCGCGAGUUUAUUUAGUGCGGGAACGGAGCUCACCUUAGCUGUGAUAGAAUGGGCUAUGUCGCUCCUACUAAAUCACCCGGCAGACCUGAAGAAGGCGCAGGACGAGAUCGACAGGUCUAUGGGGUUCUCCCGUCUGGUUGCUGCUGAGGACCUGCCCCACCUCAGCUACCUCAAGUGUAUCAUUAGUGAGACUCUUCGCCUUUACCCCGUCGCCCCACUACUGUUGCCGCAUCAGUCGUCAACGAACUGUAAGAUCGGUGGCUAUGAAAUUCCCAGUGGGACCAUGAUGCUCGUUAAUGUGUAUGCCAUCCAUAGAGACCCGGCCAUGUGGGAGCACCCGAUCAAGUUCAGGUCGGAGAGGUUUGAGGAUGGCAAGGCUGAAGGGUUAUUCAUGAUACCCUUCGGAAUGGGGAGGCGAAAGUGUCCCGGCAAGGCAAUGGUUUUACGGACGAUAGGGUUGGUUCUUGGGGCACUUCUACAAUGCUUCGACUGGGACCAGGUGGGCGCUGUGGAGGUAGACAUGACAGAAGGAGCAGAAGAAUUUGUUAUGCCCAAGGCCGUUCCAUUUGAGUCUUUGUGCAAGCCGCGCAUAGCUAUGUCCGAUGUGCUUAAGAUGCUCUAA
This 939-nucleotide ribosomal RNA is filed under the name Triticum aestivum (bread wheat). Its description in RNAcentral is "partial small subunit ribosomal RNA". The record is from RNAcentral. Lineage: Eukaryota; Viridiplantae; Streptophyta; Magnoliopsida; Poales; Poaceae.